CAGCAGCCGCGGUAAUACGAAGGGGGCUAGCGUUGUUCGGAAUUACUGGGCGUAAAGCGCACGUAGGCGGAUAUUUAAGUCAGGAGUGAAAUCCCAGAGCUCAACUCUGGAACUGCCUUUGAUACUGGGUAUCUUGAGUAUGGAAGAGGUGAGUGGAAUUCCGAGUGUAGAGGUGAAAUUCGUAGAUAUUCGGAGGAACACCAGUGGCGAAGGCGGCUCACUGGUCCAUUACUGACGCUGAGGUGCGAAAGCGUGGGGAGCAAACAGGAUUAGAUACCCCGGUAGUCCCUGUCUCUUAUAC
This 301-nucleotide ribosomal RNA is filed under the name uncultured bacterium. Its description in RNAcentral is "partial 16S ribosomal RNA". It matches the Rfam family "Bacterial small subunit ribosomal RNA", at positions 509 to 807 of the family's 1533-position model. The record is from RNAcentral.